GAGCAAUUGCUCUACAAGCUCGUCGAUUUAUUCAGUUUCCAGAUCCACAAGAGUGCACAACAAUUCAAUCAAAAUUCCAGUCCGUUGCCGGAAUUCCAAAUGUAAUCCGUUUGAUCGAUGGUACCCACAUACGGAUUCAAAGGCCAAAGGACCAUGAAGGAGAUUUCAUCAACAGGAAAGGCUAUUAUUCUUUGAAUGUGCAAUUAGAUGGUAUGUGGCCAGAACAAAAAAGAGCGGAGCUUAACUGCUAAAUGGCCAGGAAGCACACAUGACACUAGAAUAUGGAGAGUGUCAUCUACGUAAUCAGUUUGAACAAGG
This is a long non-coding RNA of Dreissena polymorpha, 318 nucleotides long. RefSeq lists it as uncharacterized. The record is from RefSeq and is a predicted model, not a curated record. Lineage: Eukaryota; Metazoa; Mollusca; Bivalvia; Myida; Dreissenidae. The transcript has 3 exons.